RNAcentral lists this ribosomal RNA (467 nucleotides) under uncultured bacterium. Its description in RNAcentral is "partial 16S ribosomal RNA". It matches the Rfam family "Bacterial small subunit ribosomal RNA", at positions 28 to 507 of the family's 1533-position model. The record is from RNAcentral.
GACGAACGCUGGCGGCGUGCUUAACACAUGCAAGUCGAACGGAAAGGCCUCUUUCGGGGGGUACUCGAGUGGCGAACGGGUGAGUAACACGUGAGUAACCUGCCCUUGACUUUGGGAUAACUUCAGGAAACUGGGGCUAAUACCGGAUAGGAGCUCCUGCUGCAUGGUGGGGGUUGGAAAGUUUCGGCGGUUGGGGAUGGACUCGCGGCUUAUCAGCUUGUUGGUGGGGUAGUGGCUUACCAAGGCUUUGACGGGUAGCCGGCCUGAGAGGGUGACCGGCCACAGUGGGACUGAGAUACGGCCCAGACUCCUACGGGAGGCAGCAGGGGGGAAUAUUGCACAAUGGGUGGAAGCCUGAUGCAGCAACGCCGGGUGCGGGAGGACGGCCUUCGGGUUGUAAACCGCUUUCGCUCAUGACGAAGCUUUGCGUGACGGUAGUGGGUAAAGAAGCACCGGCUAACUACGUG